GGGUGAGUAACGCGUAGGUAACCUGCCUUGUAGCGGGGGAUAACUAUUGGAAACGAUAGCUAAUACCGCAUAACAAUGGAUGACACAUGUCAUUUAUUUGAAAGGGGCAAUUGUUCCACUACAAGAUGGACCUGCGUUGUAUUAGCUAGUAGGUGAGGUAAUGGCUCACCUAGGCGACGAUACAUAGCCGACCUGAGAGGGUGAUCGGCCACACUGGGACUGAGACACGGCCCAGACUCCUACGGGAGGCAGCAGUAGGGAAUCUUCGGCAAUGGGGGCAACCCUGACCGAGCAACGCCGCGUGAGUGAAGAAGGUUUUCGGAUCGUAAAGCUCUGUUGUAAGUCAAGAACGGGUGUGAGAGUGGAAAGUUCACACUGUGACGGUAGCUUACCAGAAAGGGACGGCUAACUACGUGCCAGCAGCCGCGGUAAUACGUAGGUCCCGAGCGUUGUCCGGAUUUAUUGGGCGUAAAGCGAGCGCAGGCGGUUUGAUAAGUCUGAAGUUAAAGGCUGUGGCUCAACCAUAGUUCGCUUUGGAAACUGUCAAACUUGAGUGCAGAAGGGGAGAGUGGAAUUCCAUGUGUAGCGGUGAAAUGCGUAGAUAUAUGGAGGAACACCGGUGGCGAAAGCGGCUCUCUGGUCUGUAACUGACGCUGAGGCUCGAAAGCGUGGGGAGCGAACAGGAUUAGAUACCCUGGUAGUCCACGCCGUAAACGAUGAGUGCUAGGUGUUGGAUCCUUUCCGGGAUUCAGUGCCGCAGCUAACGCAUUAAGCACUCCGCCUGGGGAGUACGACCGCAAGGUUGAAACUCAAAGGAAUUGACGGGGGCCCGCACAAGCGGUGGAGCAUGUGGUUUAAUUCGAAGCAACGCGAAGAACCUUACCAGGUCUUGACAUCCCGAUGCUAUUUCUAGAGAUAGAAAGUUACUUCGGUACAUCGGUGACAGGUGGUGCAUGGUUGUCGUCAGCUCGUGUCGUGAGAUGUUGGGUUAAGUCCCGCAACGAGCGCAACCCCUAUUGUUAGUUGCCAUCAUUCAGUUGGGCACUCUAGCGAGACUGCCGGUAAUAAACCGGAGGAAGGUGGGGAUGACGUCAAAUCAUCAUGCCCCUUAUGACCUGGGCUACACACGUGCUACAAUGGUUGGUACAACGAGUUGCGAGUCGGUGACGGCGAGCUAAUCUCUUAAAGCCAAUCUCAGUUCGGAUUGUAGGCUGCAACUCGCCUACAUGAAGUCGGAAUCGCUAGUAAUCGCGGAUCAGCACGCCGCGGUGAAUACGUUCCCGGGCCUUGUACACACCGCCCGUCACACCACGAGAGUUUGUAACACCCGAAGUCGGUGAGGUAACCUUUUGAGCCAGCCGCCUAAGGUGACC
RNAcentral lists this ribosomal RNA (1373 nucleotides) under Streptococcus thermophilus. RNAcentral's name for it is "bacterial SSU rRNA". It matches the Rfam family "Bacterial small subunit ribosomal RNA", at positions 104 to 1467 of the family's 1533-position model. The record is from RNAcentral. Lineage: Bacteria; Bacillati; Bacillota; Bacilli; Lactobacillales; Streptococcaceae.